UCUAGAAAAAUCUUUUUUGAUGUUGAUCUUUUUUCUCUAAGAAUAAUCAACCUGCAAAUCUGAAUGAAGUCAGGAUCACGAUCAACUCUUUGAUUAUUUUCUUGAUCUUUUCUUUUCUUCUUCUCUUGCUUUUCUUCUCUUGAUAAUGAAGUAAUCAAGAACUAAAAAAUCAACAAGCAAAGGGAUGCCUAAGCUCCUCUUGGGCAUGGAGAAGUGGGACGCCCAACAUCUUGGGCGUUGGACUUUAACGGGAG
This 254-nucleotide long non-coding RNA is filed under the name Elaeis guineensis (African oil palm). RNAcentral's name for it is "long non-coding RNA (EGUI_LNC064894)". The record is from RNAcentral. Lineage: Eukaryota; Viridiplantae; Streptophyta; Magnoliopsida; Arecales; Arecaceae.